Molecule: transfer RNA, 22 nt
Filed under: synthetic construct
Source: RNAcentral
GGGGCUCUUCGGAGCUCCACCA